AAAGGAAAUCACGCAAAGCACGCCCUCAUCUAACGCCUUCGAUUUCCCUCCCGAAUCCCCCUUCCUCUCUCCCUCAAACCUCAAUCGCCGCCGCCCCGGCACCUCGCCGGCCACCGCAGCUCCGGCUCCUCCUCCCCAACCCACCCCCUCCUCUCCAUCCAGAACCCCCAACGGCGGCCGCAUCCCCCACCACCCACGCGAUCUCUUCCCCUCGAUCCUCGCCGGCGCAUGCGACCCACCUCCGCGCCGUCAAGAACCGGCGACCUCCACCCUCGAGGUCAACUCGAUCUCCGCCGUCCUCUGGGGAUCCUUCACCGUGCGGAUUCCGACCCUCGGCGCCGCGCUCCGGGAAGACGUACAUCCCCUGGGCACGCCUCCAUCGGCGAGCUCCUGCCACGGCGCCCAUCCGGAGCACGAAGGCCGCUUUAGUUCACCCAGCCACCGCGCCGCUAUCCUACUCCGAAGACCUGCUACUGACCGGACCACUGCCGGCAGCCUCCACAAGCUGGCGAGCCCUAGGAGAAGCUUGGGACAGAUGGAUUGAUGGUGGUGCAGCUCGAGGAGGCGGCGGCGGGUUCGCGAGGGGCGACGGCUUGCUCGGACGAACGGAUACUGCUACGGCUUGCUAUUAGGAAGGUUGCACUAGCUGUUUGUGUUACUGCAUUAGGGAAAGGCAUCCCAUAUGUGUAUUAGACUACCUCAGACUCAGAGAAAGUUACUUGGCAAGGAGUGUGGUGAAGGGCACAAUAUAUCCUGAGCGGCACACUACAAUUUUGUUUGAGGAUUGAGGAAGCAUUCAACAAUUAUAGUGCAAGGAUAGAUAUACCAUCUGAUUGAGCCAACUCAGCAGACACUCACGAUGAUUGUUUCUUGAGUGGGAGGAGAUUCUGAAACAAGUACAUAAAUGCUUACAGGGACGUUUAGUAGAUCCACUGAAGCAGAACAACAUUUUUGGGCGCAAUGUCAGCAAAGCGGAGGCAACAGCAACAGUGAGGGAGAAAUGGAUCUGCAGGGAGGUGGCUUGGAGAAAGGGAGCUAGACUAGCUGUGUGUUGUUUCAGGUAGUGGACGGAUGUACAUAUGAGAUGCCAACGGAGCCAUGUUCUUGGACCUGCGGUGCUUGGUAGCCGGCUGGGAUGUACGCUGCGCCGGAGGAUCGGCUGGCUAACAACGGUUGGUGGUGAGAGAGAAGGAAGGGGAGAGAUGUACGCGGGCCUGCACUGAUGCAGCGGCGGCAGCAGCAACAGUGAGGGUAAAAUGUAGCCGCGGGGUGGUGGCUUGGAGAAAAGGAGCUAGACUAGCUGUGUGUUGGUUCAGGUUUUGUUCCGGCUGGACUAGCGAAGAUGCUAGUUGUGUGUGUGGUGUAUCAUUCAGGUUCUAGCUAAAGUGUGGACAAGAUGCAUCUGGCCAAAAUUUUCCACCAAUGCUGCUGUACAUGCUAGCUAGCUAGGUGUUGUUUCAUGUCCAGUCGCUUGGCUUGCUGCAGCUGUCGUGUAUACUGUAGUUUCGCUGGUGGCCAAGCAAUAUCUUGUGCUAAGUUCUUUAUAUGUAUUUAAAUGCCUUGAGGAUGUUAUGUGCUGUGAAUGUACGGAAAACAAUUUAUCAAAAAUCACUAAAUUGAGCUUAGCUAGUACA
Non-coding RNA from Lolium perenne, 1634 nucleotides. NCBI's taxonomy places the organism in Eukaryota, Viridiplantae, Streptophyta, Magnoliopsida, Poales, Poaceae. The record is from RefSeq and is a predicted model, not a curated record.